UACGUAGGCAGCGAGCGUUGUUCGGAGUUACUGGGCGUAAAGGGUGUGUAGGCGGUUGUUUAAGUUUGGGGUGAAAUCUCCCGGCUCAACUGGGAGGGUGCGCCGAAUACUGAAUGACUAGAGUGCGGGAGAGGAGAGUGGAAUUCCUGGUGUAGCGGUGAAAUGCGUAGAUAUCAGGAGGAACACCGGUGGUGUAGACGGCCCUCUGGACCGUAACUGACGCUGAGACACGAAAGCGUGGGUAGCAAACAGG
This 253-nucleotide ribosomal RNA is filed under the name uncultured bacterium. RNAcentral describes it as "partial 16S ribosomal RNA". It matches the Rfam family "Bacterial small subunit ribosomal RNA", at positions 524 to 776 of the family's 1533-position model. The record is from RNAcentral.